This 252-nucleotide ribosomal RNA is filed under the name uncultured bacterium. RNAcentral describes it as "partial 16S ribosomal RNA". It matches the Rfam family "Bacterial small subunit ribosomal RNA", at positions 524 to 776 of the family's 1533-position model. The record is from RNAcentral.
UACGGAGGAUGCGAGCGUUAUCCGGAUUUAUUGGGUUUAAAGGGUGCGUAGGCGGGCUUUUAAGUCAGCGGUAAUAAUUCGGGGCUCAACCCCGUCCGGCCGUUGAAACUGGGGGUCUUGAGUGGGCGAGAAGAAGGCGGAAUGCGUGGUGUAGCGGUGAAAUGCAUAGAUAUCACGCAGAACCCCGAUUGCGAAGGCAGCCUUCCGGCGCCCUACUGACGCUGAGGCACGAAAGUGCGGGGAUCGAACAGG